RNAcentral lists this ribosomal RNA (329 nucleotides) under uncultured eukaryote. Its description in RNAcentral is "partial 18S ribosomal RNA". It matches the Rfam family "Eukaryotic small subunit ribosomal RNA", at positions 1470 to 1796 of the family's 1831-position model. The record is from RNAcentral.
CCCUUAGAUGUUCUGGGCCGCACGCGCGCUACAAUGAUGAAUUCAACGAGUUUAUAACCUUGGUUGAAAAGCCUGGGUAAUCUUUUGAACUUUCGUCGUGAUGGGGCUAGACCCUUGCAAUUAUUGGUCUCCAACGAGGAAUUCCUAGUAAACGCAAGUCAUCAGCUUGCAUUGAUUACGUCCCUGCCCUUUGUACACACCGCCCGUCGCACCUACCGAUUGAAUGGUCCGGUGAAAUCUUCGGAUUGAGACUUUGUUUUCUUCACGGAAAACGCUGUUUUAAAAAGUUGAUUAAACCUUNCNAUUUAGNGGAAGGUGAANUCGUANCA